This 1156-nucleotide unclassified non-coding RNA is filed under the name Homalodisca vitripennis (glassy-winged sharpshooter). RNAcentral's name for it is "uncharacterized LOC124363027, transcript variant X1". The record is from RNAcentral. Lineage: Eukaryota; Metazoa; Arthropoda; Insecta; Hemiptera; Cicadellidae.
UGAUAAUGUGUCUAAUAUUAGUGGAUCACUGUUAAGUGUUUCCAAAUCGUAGCCUAGUUAGUCUAACAUAAUAUAUUUCACUAAUGUUAUAAAAACACAUGACGUGUUUAUAAUUUUGUAGAAUAACGUCUACACAAAAAUAUUUCUAUUUAGGAUGCUAUUUUCAUUUAAGUCUGUAAGUGUAGUAGUGUUGGUGACGUUUGAAUAUUUAUUAUGCACAGUGCGCACAGAAACUUUCAGUAAAAUGACUGCACCACCAAAACACAAGGGUGUAUUCUUUAAGAAACAAACAGGGUUAAAUAAAACUAUACCAUACAGUGAAAAUCCAGGAAAGGAGAUGAUUGUUUUUGAUGUUGAUGGAACUUUAUGGCCGUACCAAAUUGACUCAGAUCCUAUAUUUCAAGAUCCAUUUAUUAUUAAAGGUUUAGACAACGGCACCGUGUUUGUCGGAAACCAAACCAUUCAUAUUUUCCCAGAAGUGGAAGAAACUUUGCUGGAACUCAUUGAGAAAGGUUACGUGUUGGCUGCAGUUUCCAUGACUAACAGCACCCAUAAAACGAUGGCAGUAUUGAAUGCUUUUGACCUUACAAAGCACUUCAAGCACAUGGAAAUGGCUCCAGGGCCUGAUAAGUUAUCGUUAGUGACAGAGAUAUGCACUAGAACUGGACUUUUACUUGAAGAUGUGCUUUACUUUGAAAAAGAUCCGGGAGAAGUUUUUGAUAUGCUUUGGAGGCAUGUUAUUGUGUAUUGUAUCGAUGAGAACGGAUUGACCAAAGACAGAGCAAGAAAGGGGCUUUUCAUAUUUGACAUAAGGCCUCGGAAAGAGAGGCAGCAGCAUUUAAAUAAUGCAAAAAGAGAAUUCACUGAUAAAAAUAAAAGCCGACCUGCCAAAGAACGAGAUGGCACCGAACUAGAGGGCAUGAUCCAUAAUGGAUCAGCAAUUGAUUACCAAUAAAAUCAUCUCUAGACUUAUACACGAAUUUUUAUUAAAGGAAAGCUUUUGAGUGCUAUGAAAAAUUGCAAGAAAAGUCUAACAUUGAUUAUGACUGCAUUUUGUUUUUGAUGUACACGUAUACCAGAAGUGAGAUCCACGGCCUGCUAGACUUGGACGUGUCCACACUUCCGGUGGGAGUGGAUGGUGUAUCCCGGGGUCUAG